CACUCUUAACCCCCUCUGUUACUCUGCGCUGGAAAGCCCCGCUACCUAUAUCCGUCCUCUGCACUUGAGCUUGCAGUCUCUUGCCUUCCUUCCUGUUCAUGCAGCAAUAAACCCCUGAGCCACACAGAGACUAUGUCAACAUGAGACCUCUGUUUAUUGAGAAGUUAUGAGAUGUGAUUAGAGUUAUUAGAUUAUUAGUGUGAUUAGAUCAACAUGUACAGGAAUGUUUUAGCAAAAUGUGUCUGCAAAUAUCUGUUGCUGCUCUGACUCACACAGUGUGUGACCUAUAUAUCAGAAAAAAAUCGCUUUGGAUAAAAGCUUCUGCAAAAUGACAAAAUGUAAAUGCAAAACCCGCAGCUUUGUGGAAGACACUGCAAUACCAUCACGACUUCAGGCAGCGUACUGACUCUCUGUCCGGUCAAAGUGCAUUCAUGGGUUUCAACAUUGUACUGCAGCCAAUGUGUUUCUGGUUCAUAUGCAUUAGUUGUCAGUUAACUGAAAUAGUUUGAAUGCGUAAAGAUGUUGACUUUUAUUUGUGAACUCAAAUUACAAUGAAAAGUCUAUCAUACUUUUCUGGGCCACUGUACAUAAUAGUU
Molecule: long non-coding RNA, 596 nt
Organism: Carassius carassius (crucian carp)
Lineage: Eukaryota; Metazoa; Chordata; Actinopteri; Cypriniformes; Cyprinidae
Exons: 4
Source: RefSeq, a predicted model, not a curated record